GCCUGCGACCACACCAUCCCGAAUAUGCCCAAUCUCAUCUGAUCUCAGAAGCUAAGCAGGUUCGGGCCUGGUCAGUACCUGGAUUCCGGUCAGUACCUGGAUGGGAGACUGCCUGGGAACACCGGGUGUUGUCGACU
This 137-nucleotide ribosomal RNA is filed under the name Eptatretus burgeri (inshore hagfish). The record is from RNAcentral. Lineage: Eukaryota; Metazoa; Chordata; Myxini; Myxiniformes; Myxinidae.